GACGAACGCUGGCGGCGUGCUUAACACAUGCAAGUCGAACGGUAAGGCCCUUCGGGGUACACGAGUGGCGAACGGGUGAGUAACGCGUGAGUAACCUGCCCUUCACUCUGGGAUAACAGUUGGAAACGGCUGCUAAUACCGGAUAUUCAGCUCCUGUCGCAUGGUGGGGGUUGGAAAGUUUUGGUGGUGGAGGAUGGGCUCGCGUCCUAUCAGCUUGUUGGUGGGGUGAUGGCCUACCAAGGCGUCGACGGGUAGCCGGCCUGAGAGGGCGACCGGCCACAUUGGGACUGAGAUACGGCCCAGACUCCUACGGGAGGCAGCAGUGGGGAAUAUUGCACAAUGGGCGGAAGCCUGAUGCAGCAACGCCGCGUGCGGGAUGACGGCCUUCGGGUUGUAAACCGCUUUCAGCAGGGACGAAGCGCAAGUGACGGUACCUGCAGAAGAAGCACCGGCUAACCACGUG
RNAcentral lists this ribosomal RNA (463 nucleotides) under uncultured bacterium. Its description in RNAcentral is "partial 16S ribosomal RNA". It matches the Rfam family "Bacterial small subunit ribosomal RNA", at positions 28 to 507 of the family's 1533-position model. The record is from RNAcentral.